CUACGUGCCAGCAGCCGCGGUAAUACGGAAGGUCCAGGCGUUAUCCGGAUUUAUUGGGUUUAAAGGGAGCGUAGGCGGAUUAUUAAGUCAGUGGUGAAAGACGGUGGCUCAACCAUCGUUAGCCAUUGAAACUGGUAGUCUUGAGUGUAGACAGGGAUGCUGGAACUCGUGGUGUAGCGGUGAAAUGCUUAGAUAUCACGAUGAACUCCGAUCGCGAAGGCAGGUGUCCGGGCUGCAACUGACGCUGAGGCUCGAAAGUGUGGGUAUCAAACAGGAUUAGAUACCCUGGUAGUCCACACAGUAAACGAUGUAUACUCGCGGUUUGCGAUAUAAUGUAAGCCGCCAAGCGAAAGCAUUAAGUAUACCACCUGGGGAGUACGCCGGCAACGGUGAAACUCAAAGGAAUUGACGGGGGCCCGCACAAGCGGAGGAACAUGUGGUUUAAUUCGAUGAUACGCGAGGAACCUUACCCGGGCUUGAAC
Molecule: ribosomal RNA, 482 nt
Filed under: uncultured bacterium
Lineage: Bacteria
Description: bacterial SSU rRNA
Rfam family: Bacterial small subunit ribosomal RNA
Source: RNAcentral